AGCGAACGCUGGCGGCAUGCCUAACACAUGCAAGUCGCACGGGGGGGCUUCGGCCUCCCAGUGGCGGACGGGUGAGGAACGCGUAGGGACCUGUCGAGGGGUGGGGGAUAACCGCGGGAAACUGCGGCUAAUACCGCAUGACGCCGCGGCGUGACAGCCGGGGCCAAAGGCGAAAGCCGCCCGCCGAGGGGCCUGCGUCCGAUUAGCUGGUUGGCGGGGUAGCGGCCCACCAAGGCGUCGAUCGGUAGCUGGUCUGAGAGGGUGAUCAGCCACACCGGGACUGAGACACGGCCCGGACUCCUACGGGAGGCAGCAGUGGGGAAUAUUGGACAAUGGGCGCAAGCCUGAUCCAGCAAUGCCGCGUGGGUGAAGAAGGUCCUCGGACUGUAAAGCCCUUUCGGCGGGGACGAUGGUGACGGUACCCGCAGAAGAAGCCCCGGCUAACUUCGUG
RNAcentral lists this ribosomal RNA (451 nucleotides) under uncultured bacterium. Its description in RNAcentral is "partial 16S ribosomal RNA". It matches the Rfam family "Bacterial small subunit ribosomal RNA", at positions 28 to 507 of the family's 1533-position model. The record is from RNAcentral.